UCAGGAACACAGGCCUCGCAGGGUUCUGAUCGAGCUUGAGCAGGUCGGGCAUGGCUGCUGCGGCUGCUGCUUGACGUAGAGACCAAACUGGUUCCAGGCCUCCAUCAAAACGGAUUCGAUUCACUGCAUCGAGCGAGCUCGAGGCGUCGGGGUGGGCAUUACGUCGAACACGCCGCGUGCAAGAACCGGGAAUCGCGUCGUGCUCUGCUCACUGACCUGCACACGAGCGAGCAGCUGAGGAGGUCGACGCAGUCCAGCUGCGAGAACACCCGCGCGAUCACGUCCGCCGGCGCCCGCAGCGCCGCCGCCUCGCCUCCGCCGGCAACCAUCUCCUCCUCCUGCUGCUGCUUCCGCGGCGGCGCCAUCGCC
Molecule: small RNA, 369 nt
Filed under: Oryza sativa Japonica Group (Japanese rice)
Lineage: Eukaryota; Viridiplantae; Streptophyta; Magnoliopsida; Poales; Poaceae
Description: sRNA Os09g0361333
Source: RNAcentral